Molecule: ribosomal RNA, 108 nt
Filed under: Desmodesmus communis
Lineage: Eukaryota; Viridiplantae; Chlorophyta; Chlorophyceae; Sphaeropleales; Scenedesmaceae
Description: 5.8S ribosomal RNA
Rfam family: 5.8S ribosomal RNA
About the family: 5.8S ribosomal RNA (5.8S rRNA) is a component of the large subunit of the eukaryotic ribosome. It is transcribed by RNA polymerase I as part of the 45S precursor that also contains 18S and 28S rRNA. Functionally, it is thought that 5.8S rRNA may be involved in ribosome translocation.
Source: RNAcentral
CGAUACGUAGUGUGAAUUGCAGAAUUCCCGUGAACCAUCGAAAUCUUUGAACGCAUAUUGCGCUCGACUCCUCGGAGAAGAGCAUGUCCGCCUCAGCGUCGGUUUUCA